UACAGAGGGGGCAAGCGUUGUCCGGAAUCAUUGGGCGUAAAGCGCGUGUAGGCGGCCAGAAAAGUCCGCUGUGAAAACUCGAGGCUCAACUUCGAGCUGUCGGUGGAAACUUUCUGGCUAGAGUCCGGAAGAGGAAAAUGGAAUUCCUGGUGUAGCGGUGAAAUGCGCAGAUAUCAGGAAGAACACCCGUGGCGAAGGCGGUUCUCUGGGACGGUACUGACGCUGAGACGCGAAAGCGUGGGGAGCGAACAGG
RNAcentral lists this ribosomal RNA (253 nucleotides) under uncultured bacterium. RNAcentral describes it as "partial 16S ribosomal RNA". It matches the Rfam family "Bacterial small subunit ribosomal RNA", at positions 524 to 776 of the family's 1533-position model. The record is from RNAcentral.